This 32-nucleotide non-coding RNA is filed under the name Homo sapiens (human). The record is from RNAcentral. Lineage: Eukaryota; Metazoa; Chordata; Mammalia; Primates; Hominidae.
UCCACGAGCUGGAUCUGCAGAAAUAACUGCCA